RNAcentral lists this ribosomal RNA (293 nucleotides) under uncultured prokaryote. Its description in RNAcentral is "partial 16S ribosomal RNA". It matches the Rfam family "Archaeal small subunit ribosomal RNA", at positions 455 to 747 of the family's 1478-position model. The record is from RNAcentral.
GUGCCAGCCGCCGCGGUAAUACCGGCAGCCCGAGUGAUGGCCGAUAUUAUUGGGCCUAAAGCGUCCGUAGCUGGCCGGACAAGUCCGUUGGGAAAUCUGUCCGCUUAACGGGCAGGCGUCCAGCGGAAACUGUUCGGCUUGGGACCGGAAGACCUGAGGGGUACGUCCGGGGUAGGAGUGAAAUCCUGUAAUCCUGGACGGACCACCGGUGGCGAAAGCGCCUCAGGAGGACGGAUCCGACAGUGAGGGACGAAAGCUAGGAUCUCGAACCGGAUUAGAUACCCCUGUAGUCC